This 558-nucleotide ribosomal RNA is filed under the name Triticum aestivum (bread wheat). RNAcentral's name for it is "partial small subunit ribosomal RNA". The record is from RNAcentral. Lineage: Eukaryota; Viridiplantae; Streptophyta; Magnoliopsida; Poales; Poaceae.
AUGUCCACCGGAGUACGGGGUAGGGGAAGAGCAUCUGGAAACCGGAAUGGGAAGCGGCAGCAGCAGGGCUCGGGAGAUGAGCUUGACGCUUUCUCGAAGGAGCUUCAACGACGGCCAGAAGUAAGGACCAUCAACAAGUAUGGGCUCCUUGCAGCGUACGUCCAAAUUGCCCUGAAUUCCAUCGGGGCGCUGAUGCUUUUGUGGGCCACCGUGGUCCUCCUCGGCGGAUUCGUCUCCGAUCUGACGAAGAAGGAUUUUUGGUACCUGACCAUCCUCUCGUUUCUGCAGGCCGCCGGGGUAUUCGACGCGUGGAGUGGUGCUGGCUCUGAUUCAUUCGUGGAUUGGUUUGAUUCUCUUGCACUAGACACUGGAUCUUGGGGGGGAAAUCAUCGUCAUGAACAUAAACGGUUCCUGCCUAAGAGACAACAAAAGAUAAGACAAAUACUAGGUAUCAUUCUGAUCGUGCUAUCUACCCCAGUGGUGAUAUUCUCCGCGUAUGGACCACUUGUGCGCUUUCUGCUAUCGUCACUUGCUGUAGAGAAGAAAAACCAUGACUAA